RNAcentral lists this RNase P RNA (387 nucleotides) under Rhodoferax sp. RNAcentral's name for it is "RNase P RNA component class A". It matches the Rfam family "Bacterial RNase P class A". From Rfam's summary of the family: Ribonuclease P (RNase P) is a ubiquitous endoribonuclease, found in archaea, bacteria and eukarya as well as chloroplasts and mitochondria. The record is from RNAcentral. Lineage: Bacteria; Pseudomonadati; Pseudomonadota; Betaproteobacteria; Burkholderiales; Comamonadaceae.
GAAGCCCGCCAGACCACCGCUGGUGCAAUUUGGGAAACCAAGCACUGGAGGAACGUCCGGACUGCAUAGGGCAGCGUAGCAGUUAACGACUGUCCACUGAACGGUUGUGUGCGCAAGUACAUAGCCUUAAGGUGAGGAUUAGAGCAACAGAGACGAGUCGGUGGUGGCGCAAGCCAUCAUCGGGUGAAACGGGCAAUCUCUACGCGCAGCAAUACCAAGUAGGCCAACGCAAAGCGAGGCGGUUCGCCGCAGCGCCCUGACCGGGACCCCCGGAGUUGGCGGGUAGGUAGCACCGAGCCGUUUGGGUGACCAGCGGCCCAGAGUAAUGGUGCUCACAGGGUGGGUAACUCCCCUGCACAGAAUCCGGCUUAUCGGUGGGCUUCACAC